This 334-nucleotide unclassified non-coding RNA is filed under the name soil metagenome. RNAcentral's name for it is "partial contains 5.8S ribosomal RNA, internal transcribed spacer 2, and large subunit ribosomal RNA". The stretch from base 1 to 120 matches the Rfam family "5.8S ribosomal RNA", at positions 35 to 154 of the family's 154-position model. The record is from RNAcentral.
GAUGAAGAACGUAGCGAAAUGCGAUAAGUAAUGUGAAUUGCAGAAUUCAGUGAAUCAUCGAAUCUUUGAACGCACAUUGCGCCCCCCAGUAUUCUGGCGGGCAUGCCUGUUCGAGCGUCAUUUCAACCAUCAAGCCCUGCUUGUGUUGGGGUCCUGCGGCUGCCCGCAGGCCCUGAAAACCAGUGGCGGGCUCGCUAGUCACACCGAGCGCAGUAGCACAUCUCGCUCAGGGCGUGCGGCGGGCUCCAGCCGUUAACGCACCCACCUUUCGCAAGGUUGACCUCGGAUCAGGUAGGAAUACCCGCUGAACUUAAGCAUAUCAAUAAGCGGAGGA